AUCCUUUUGUAGUUCAUAAGCGUGAUGAUUGGGUUUUCACGUGCAUGUGUGAGAUGUGCCUCCCUCCAACCUUGUUACAAUGUCGGCACAUUACCGGUCUGACA
This 104-nucleotide small nucleolar RNA is filed under the name Microcebus murinus (gray mouse lemur). Its description in RNAcentral is "Small nucleolar RNA U13 (ENSMICG00000044687.1)". It matches the Rfam family "Small nucleolar RNA U13". The record is from Rfam by way of RNAcentral. Lineage: Eukaryota; Metazoa; Chordata; Mammalia; Primates; Cheirogaleidae.